Molecule: long non-coding RNA, 1151 nt
Filed under: Equus asinus (donkey)
Lineage: Eukaryota; Metazoa; Chordata; Mammalia; Perissodactyla; Equidae
Description: lncRNA (ENSEASG00005034003.1)
Source: RNAcentral
CUGGUAGCCACGUUAAAAAAGUAACAAGCUUGGUGUGUCCUCAACAAGUUAAACAUAGAAUUAGCAUACGAUCCAGCAAUUCUACUCUCAGGUAUAUAUCUCAAGGAAUUGAAAACAGGUGUUCAAACAAAAACCUGUACACGAAUGUUAGCAGAAACAUUGUUUGUCAUAGCCAAAGUUGGAAGCACUUGUAGUGUCCAUCAACAGAUACACGGAUAAACGAUGUGAACUGCCGAGACCAUUGGGAAAAAUCCCCUCUGCCCGGAGAUAUCUUGAUUCUGACUGUCCUCAGGUGCUUUGAGCCCCGACAGUGUCAUACAGGGAGCUAUGUAGGACCCGAGCCAGAGGAAGGACCCCCCUGGGGCUCAGUGAGAUGUGUUGCAGAGAAGCCAGGCUCCUGCCCUUCCAGCUUUGUGAGCUGCUGUUACCCUGCAAGACCUCUUUGACCGCCAGCUUGAGUGCAUGGUCUUCUUGGAAGGUAGAAGCCAGGAGAGAGAGAGGGCUGUUGUGAGGAGCGGACAGAGGUUUUAAGGAUACAGAUUGCCCCAUGUGUCAGUUAAAACGAAAUUUGGCUGCAUAUGUCAGGGAACCCUCCCCAAAGAGUGGCUGAAAAGAAGUUUAUUUCUCAUGUAAAAGAAGUCUGGUGGUAAUUAGACCAGGCCUGUUCGGGUGGCUUUGAAGUCUCGGACACCCAGAAUCCCUCUCUCGUGUUACUCCACCAUCCUCAGCAUGGGGCGUCCAUCUCGUGGUCUGAGAUGGCUUCUUGAGCUCCAUGCAAAUCUGCAACUUCAGCGGCCAGGAAGGAGAAAAGGCUGAGAAGAGCAUACCUCUUCCCCGGAGGGACAUUUUCUGGAAGUUACACGGGAGGCUUGCACUGCCUUGCAAUGAAGGGUGGCCAUGGAUCUAGAUUCUGGACUAUGGAAUGAGGUGCUCAAUGAAUAUGUUAAAUGAAUGAAGAAGUAGGAGAGAUUGCAUCAUGCAUGGAAGAAAGUUCCCAGCUGAGAAUCAAGGCACUAAGACAUAAAUGAAACUAUGAGCUACUAUGAGACAUAUGUCAAGUCAUCUCACAUUUCAGACCUGCAGUUCGAGGAUGUAUAGGUCAGAGUUGGAUUAGAGGAUCUUUCAGGUCACUUUCCCCUCUCAAAAUCCGU